AGAGUUUGAUCCUGGCUCAGGACGAACGCUGGCGGCGUGCUUAACACAUGCAAGUCGACGAAAGGCCCUGCUUUUGUGGGGUGCUCGAGUGGCGAACGGGUGAGUAACACGUGAGUAACCUGCCCUUGACUUUGGGAUAACUUCAGGAAACUGGGGCUAAUACCGGAUAGGAGCUCCUGCUGCAUGGUGGGGGUUGGAAAGUUUCGGCGGUUGGGGAUGGACUCGCGGCUUAUCAGCUUGUUGGUGGGGUAGUGGCUUACCAAGGCUUUGACGGGUAGCCGGCCUGAGAGGGUGACCGGCCACAUUGGGACUGAGAUACGGCCCAGACUCCUACGGGAGGCAGCAGUGGGGAAUAUUGCACAAUGGGCGGAAGCCUGAUGCAGCAACGUCGCGUGCGGGAUGACGGCCUUCGGGUUGUAAACCGCUUUCGCCUGUGACGAAGCGUGAGUGACGGUAAUGGGUAAAGAAGCACCGGCUAACUACGUG
This 486-nucleotide ribosomal RNA is filed under the name uncultured Propionibacterium sp. Its description in RNAcentral is "bacterial SSU rRNA". It matches the Rfam family "Bacterial small subunit ribosomal RNA", at positions 8 to 507 of the family's 1533-position model. The record is from RNAcentral. Lineage: Bacteria; Bacillati; Actinomycetota; Actinomycetes; Propionibacteriales; Propionibacteriaceae.